Molecule: RNA transcript, 12475 nt
Organism: Frieseomelitta varia
Lineage: Eukaryota; Metazoa; Arthropoda; Insecta; Hymenoptera; Apidae
Gene: Ptp10D
Gene name: tyrosine-protein phosphatase 10D
Exons: 20
Source: RefSeq, a predicted model, not a curated record
ACAGAGAAGCGAGAGCAAGAAAGAGAGAGAGAGAGAGAGAGAGAGAGAGAAGCGAAUGGAAUGGAAAGGCAGUCAGGUUAGCCGUGCGGGAGAGAUUGGAGAGGCCAGGGACGAGGCAAGGCAAGCGAUUUAGCUGCUGCUGGUUCGGCGAGCCACGAGUUGGAGUGCCGAGAGAGCAGCCGAGGUCCCGUUGGCCGUGCCUGCACCGGGAGAGGCGUCAUGAAAGCGCGCCAGUUGACCGAGUGCACCUCACCUCGGACGAAACCGCGUAUUUCUCGUCGUUGAGGUUGCCUUGCCCCUCGGCCUCUGCCAUCGUGGAUUCGCGAGGAUUUCCACUCGCGAAUAUCCUGCCGCUGGCUGUCACGCGUCCCCUUCGCCCUGUACGCUCACGCGUUUCCCGGUGCUGAGAUCUCGCCGAGUUUCGUUUUUCCGCGCGUUGGUCGGCAAUCUGCUCGAUUUUCGUUGUUCUCAAGCGUUGUUCUCACCGACCAACCGAGCUGUGACGUGCGUGCGUGGUGUGUAUACGUGCGUGCGUGGUACUUUGGCCUACCUUUGACAUCGACGCUCGCUGAAACGCUGGCGAAACAGGACGACUGCUGCAAACGGUGACGUACGUGCGAUCGUUCGAUUUCUCCUGCGAUUUUCUCGUUUUCGUUACGGCACGUCGAAUGUCUGUACGUUGAAUCUCGCGGUUUCAUACACUGGUUGUUAUUGACAUAUUGAUUUCGUUGGCGCGGAUACUCUCUCUUUCUCUCUCUCUUUCUUUCUUUCUCUCUCUCUCUCUCUCUCUCUCUCUCUCUCUGUCUUUCGCGUGGCAUCGCUCGCCCGUGGAUCGGGUUCGAUUGGAGAAAAAUACGAAAACUCGUUUCUGUCAGUAGACACGCCUGUACCGGACGCAAGUAUAAAACGUUCGUUCGGUCUCUCACUCUUUGAUAAACCCUCGGCUCUGUUCCUCCGUUGGCUCGCGUCUUUCACCUUGACGUUGCAAGCAUUGAAACGUACUGGCACGUUUCGGCUGAUAUUCGCAUCGUCGUCGACAUCGCAGUGACAACCGCGCGAAAUAACCGAGCAUCUCAAUAUACGACGAUUGUCUCGUUAUCUUCGUUGUCACAGCUUCGUACCCAAGAAGGAAAUUCACAGUUUUCUUAGAACGUUUGGAGCUCGCAGUCGGGUACUCGGAGUACAAAGAGAGCAAGGUAACAAAAGAAAAAAACGGAGUCACGCUGGACUGGCUGGAGGAUCGAUUCAAAUUCGCCAGGCGUUCUGUGACGUUCGUUAUUUACAUAAUUCAACGACGUUAACGCAAGCUGUUUCACAGACAGAGAGAAAGGAAACGUAGCAGCAAAAAAAAAAGAAAAAAAAAAAAAAAAAAAAAAAAAAGAAAAAAAAAAAAAAAAAGAAGAAAAGAUAAGCUGGACUUUUGCUAGCUCACCUCUUCUCACGAAGUGAAUUUAUCUUCAACCAUUCUGUUUGCUUCUCAAGCAAAAUAUUCGACAGGAGAAAGCGUAAAAAUACGCGUUUUAAUUUUGAUAAAAAUUCGCAAAUUAAACACCUUUGUUAUAACAAUAAUAAUAAUAAAAAGAAGAAGAAGAAGAAGAAGAAGAAUAGUAAAAGAAAUUAAUUGGAAAUUAAUUAAUUAAUUCGUUCGUUUUGGACAGCCAGAUUGUCCGCAAACCACGGACGAUAUCCAGGACAAUCUCACGAUGCUAAUAGCGACGACAUCUCCGAUUUUCUAACGCUCGGUUCGUUACCUUGUCGUUGUCUCGGACGCGAUUCGGAGGGUAACAUCCCUCCUGGUCGUUAUUCCAUUGGCCGCGUUGAAGGGCUCGAAGCGAGAAGCAAUAGGAGCGCGAGGAGACGAGGAGCAGCAACAGCCUUAUCUAGCUGAAACUGUUUCGCUUUGCACGUACUUGGCGAGACGGAGCGGCUCGCCGAGGAGAGGAGAUGAUAGUGCACGAGCUCGUUAUCGAGCGCUACGUGCCCAUUGUCGACGAACGCAUUUGCCCGUGCCGUUUCCAGUAAUUCGAUCGGUCGUUCCACGAAAACCGGCACGUCGCUGCUGACUGGUCUACGCUUGACAUUCCAUUCGCUCCGAACUCGUAAACACGAAGCAGGCUAACCAAGUAGGUCGUUGAUCGAAAAUUCUCACGAGCAAGCUGACGAGCCGAUGGUGGUUUUGAGAUCAUAAUGGAAAGAGGGAGCAGUGACGAGAGAACCAACGACAGAACGAGGAAAAAAAGAGCGACGAAGUAAUCCGUCGGCGGCUAAACGACACGUUCGGCUCGUCGAUCGAGCGGAGACGCGCGAUCACAGUUGCUCAACGAGCGAGCAUCGUCCAAGAGCGAACGAUAGAGCAUCUAUCGCGCGAAGUAGUCCACCAGGAAGCCAACAGGCGGACGUCGUUCGUGACAUCGAACGGGGCGACACGUGGUCGUCGCGUACCCGUUUGCAACAAUCCCUACCGACGCAGCGUGUAACAGCCAGCCAGAGCUAUUCGGAACGGCGACAGAGGGGUCGAGAGAAGAGUUAGCGUUCCGGUUAGCCAAACUCGAGUCAGCUAGCCGACGGAUAUGGCAGCUGUCGUUCCUUCUGUUGUCCAUCAACGAUUCCAUCUCGCUCGACAAAGCAAUCGCCGACGUGCUACCGACAGUGAAUCGAGCGAACAGGUGUCGUCGCAACGUGUCCAGGCUGGGAUACGCGAUUCCUCGUGAUACUAGGCGGCCGGGUAGUGUGUCGUCGAUCGAUCAACGAGACCACAGCGAGCGUUCCACGCGCGCAUUCUUACGAUUAGUGAACGAAAAGUGUUUCCAGCCGGCGCGAUAAUCGGCGGUGAUAAUCCGUGAGUUUCAACGGUGAAUCAAUCGGUCAUCGAUCGAGCAAGUAGCUAGGAAAAGAAGAGAAAGGAAGAGAGUGCACACGGUCGACUAAAGGAAGUUUCGAAGAACGAAUAGAAAAUAGAAUUGUAUAUAUAUAUAUAUAGUUAUUCUUGGUAACUGUGGUCCUAGAAGGAUUUCUUUAAGGAUGAAGAACACGAAAGUCGUUGAUUCUCCGCGACCAGUCUCCAGGUUUCGCGGUACUCUUCUUCUGCUUCUGACGCUGCUCGCAGAGGUCACAUAUUCGGCAGAUCUUGCUAUCGAGAUACCAGGAAACUUGAGCCAGGGAGGCUCCUGGUAUCGCCUGGAUUACAGCCCUGCUGUAGGUUAUCCACCACCAAAUACCACUAUAGCCGCCACCGAUAUCGGUGAUGUGAUCAAGUUUAAAGACGGACUUCCUGGCACUAGAUAUGAAUUUUGGUUGUAUUAUAGCAACAGCACUCUUCACGAUUGGCUGACAUGGACUGCGUCCAUAACUACGGCCCCGGAUCCGCCCUCGAACCUCACCGUCUCCGUGCGGAAUGGAAAGACCGCGAUAGUCUAUUGGGCGCCGCCAGCCCAGGGCAAUUAUUCCGGUUUCCGGUUGAGGGUGCAAAGUUUCAGCGACACCGGAAAUCCAAAAACCAGCGUCAUCCCCGCGGACGCGGUGCCCUAUGUUCUACGUGAUCUCAUCCCCGGGGCUACGUACUCUCUUCAACUUUUCACCGUGUUAGACACCAAAGAAAGCGUGGCCUACACCAGCAGGAAUUUCACCACCAAGCCCAACACGCCGGGGAAGUUUAUCGUGUGGUUUAGAAACGAGACGACCUUACUGGUCCUUUGGCAGCCGCCCUAUCCUGCUGGGAUUUACAGCCAUUACAAAGUUAGUAUAGAUCCUGCCGAUGCCAUAGAAUCUGUUCUUUAUGUGGAGAAAGAAGGAGAACCUCCUGGGCCUGCACAGGCUGCUUUCAAAGGGCUCGUCCCUGGCCGAGCUUACAAUAUUUCCGUUCAAACGAUGUCAGAGGACGAAACCUCGGCCCCCACGACGGCUCAGUAUCGAACGGUGCCAUUACGUCCCCUCAAUGUUACCUUCGACAAGUCCUCGAUAACGUCCACGUCCUUUCGCGUUUUCUGGAACCCUCCCGAGGGGGUGUCCGAAUUCGAUAAGUAUCAAAUAUCGUUAGGGAGUAACAGAAGAUUAGCGCCAGUCACCAGGAACAGAGACGACGAGAGUAAAUGGGAAUUCAAGGACCUGGAGCCAGGGAAAACUUAUCAAGUGGUGGUGAAGACAGUGUCAGGCAAGGUAACCAGUUGGCCAGCUAACGGAGACGUUACUUUAAAACCGUUACCCGUGCGCGACCUUCGCACUGUCAUCGACGAAAAAACCGGAAUGGUGGAGGUGUCUUGGCAUCCUGAAAAUUCGAGCACUCAGGACAGUUACAAGCUUCAAUAUCACGAAGUGGAAACUACGAUCGGCGGUGACAGCAAUAUGUUGACAACUGACAAGACCAAGGUUACAUUGGAAGCCUUAUUGCCAGGCAGAAAUUACUCGAUAAUCGUCCAAGCGAUUAGUAAUAAGGUUGAAUCGAACGAGACGGUGUUGUAUCAAGUGACACGACCCUCCAGCCCUAUAAUCGAGGAUUUAAAGCCAACCGAGAUGGGGCUGAACAUCUCGUGGAAGAGCGACGUUAAUUCGAGACAAGAGAAAUUCGAAGUAACGCACAACAGAAACGAUACCGGGGAGAGUGCAACCACGUUAACCACGGAAUCUCAUAUCGUUUUGGAGGACCUUUAUCCUGGGGCAGCGUACGAAGUCAAAGUUUUCGCCAUUAGCCACGGUCUAAGGAGCGAACCGCACGACUACCUUCAAGCAGUUUUGCCUCACGCGCCAAAGAAUUUAAGUAUCGAGAAAGUAACGAGCAACACGGUUGUUGUACACUGGGAGGCGCCAACUGACUCGCUGUAUUCCGAGUUCUCGAUACGAUAUCGAACAGAGGAUGACCCGAGAUGGGUAAAAUUGCCAAGCGUUCGAGAAACGGAAGCAGAAGUGGCGGACAUGACGCCAGGGGAGAGAUACACGAUUCAAGUGAACACCGUGAGCUACGGGGUCGAAAGUCUCUAUCCCCUUCAAGUGAAUCAUACAGUUCGACCCAAUCCAGUACUUAAUAUCACUCCAGUCAUCGAUUCGACGAACGUGACCCUGGAAUGGCCAAGACCAGAGGGUAGAAUCGAAACUUACGUGAUAAGAUGGUGGCCAGUCGAGAAUCCCGAAGACAUACACGCUAAAAAUGUCACGGAGAGCAACGACGUGACCAGUGUACUUUUCGAAGAAAAUACAGUGCAAAGGGUGCUUAUCAGCGACCUGAUGCCAGGCGUUCAAUAUUCCUUUGUGCUCUACACUGUCUCUUACAAUUUGUUCAGUGAUAUCACCAAUUUGACAACCAGGACAAUGCCGCUGAUUCAGUCGGAAGUGGUCGUCGUGGUCGAUCAAGAUCAGCCCGAUUCGUUAACGUUGAGAUACACACGGACCCCCGUUCAAUCAUCCAAGUUCGAUCUGUAUCGAUUCCGGAUUAGCGAUGAGAGCAACACGACGAAAGAACGGAUGGUCGACGACAUCGACACCAAAGUGACGUUCACCGGCCUAACACCUGGCAAACUGUACAACGUCACUGUUUGGACCGUCAGCGAUAACGUGGAGAGCAGACCUCUGAUCAGGCAGGACCGACUUUAUCCUGAACCAGUCACGUCCAUUCAAGCAAUAGAGAUCAACGACACGAGGAUCACGUUAACAUGGGACAUUCCACGUGGACAGUACGACGCUUUCGAGGUCCAAUACAUAAACACAGAGGAAAAUUACAUUCAGAACAUCACGAGCGCUAAUUUGAUAACCAUCUCCGAUUUGAAGCCGCACCGAAAUUACACGUUCACGUUGGUUGUGCGUUCGGGCACGGCGUCCUCUUACCUCAGAAUAUCGAAUCCCGUGAGCGCAAGCUUCACCACCAGCGAAUCUUAUCCUGGCAAGGUGGAGAAGUUCCACCCUACGGAUAUUCAGCCUAGUGACAUUAGUUUCGAGUGGUCUUUACCGAGUCAGGAACAGAAUGGCAUCAUCAGAAAAUAUACCAUCACCUAUGGAUUGGAGGGUUCGACCCACACUCAGAUGCAGGACUUCAGGCCAAACGAAUACCACGGCGUUAUUAAAUCGCUCAUACCCGGGAAGACGUACAUCUUUCGGAUUCAAGCGCAGACGAAAAUCGGCUUCGGCCCCGAGGCGGUGUGGAAGCAGAAAAUGCCGAUUCUGGCGCCGCCGAAACCGUCGACUCAAGUGGUGCCAACCGAGGUGUGCAGAAGCAGCACCACGAUACAAAUACGAUUCAGGAAGAAUUAUUUCAGCGAGCAGAACGGCGCGGUCACGUCUUACACGAUCAUCGUGGCCGAGGACGAUAGUAAAAACGCUUCUGGCUUGGAAAUGCCCAGUUGGAGGGAUGUUCAGGCCUACAGCAUCUGGCCACCGUAUCAGGUGAUGGAGCCCUAUUAUCCCUUCAAGAACGGCUCCGUGGAAGAUUUCACGAUCGGCAGCGAGAAUUGCGACAAUAAAAUCGGUUACUGUAACGGGCCGUUGAAGUCCGGAUCCACCUAUAAAGUAAAAGUUCGAGCGUUCACCGCGCCCGACAAAUUCACGGAUACUAGCUACAGUUUUCCGAUUCAAACAGAUAAGGACAAUACGGCUAUCAUGGUUGGAGUCAUAGUUCCAAUAGUAUUUUUGUUAACUCUGUUGGGCAUUGGACUAUUGGUCAGACGGAGAAGAAGUCAAGGACGUAAAACGACUGAAACAAGGACCACUGACAACUUGUCUUUACCAGACAGCGUGAUUGAUACUAGUCGACCAAUUAAAAUUGAAGAUUUUUCGGAACAUUAUCGCACGAUGUCGGCGGACUCGGACUUUCGUUUCUCGGAAGAGUUCGAAGAACUGAAGCAUGUUGGAAGAGAUCAACCUUGUACAGCCGCUGAUUUACCGUGCAACAGACCGAAGAAUCGUUUCACAAAUAUUUUGCCCUACGAUCACAGCAGAUUUAAGUUGCAGCCUGUAGAUGACGAAGAGGGUUCCGACUAUAUUAACGCCAAUUACGUUCCUGGCCACAACUCUCCAAGAGAAUUUAUCGUUACACAAGGACCUUUGCAUUCGACACGCGACGAUUUCUGGAGGAUGGUCUGGGAAAGCAAUAGCAGAGCCAUUGUUAUGCUAACAAGGUGUAUUGAAAAGGGCAGGGAAAAGUGUGACCACUACUGGCCUAUGGAUACUCAUCCUGUUUAUUACGGGGACAUUUGCGUUACGAUAUUGAACGAGACGCAUUACCCCGAUUGGAGCAUCACGGAAUUCAUGCUGUGCAGGGGAGACGUCAAGAGAAUCAUUCAACACUUCCAUUUCACAACGUGGCCGGACUUCGGUGUACCAAAUCCGCCUCAAACGUUGGCUAGAUUCGUUCGAGCGUUCAGAGAGAAAGUGAGACCGGAUCAAAGACCGAUCGUCGUUCACUGCAGCGCUGGUGUUGGCCGCAGCGGCACGUUCAUCACGUUGGACAGAAUACUUCAGCAGAUCUUGGUGUCGAAGUACGUCGACAUUUUUGGAAUAGUCUGGGCAAUGAGGAAGGAGCGCGUCUGGAUGGUCCAGACGGAGCAGCAAUACAUCUGCAUACAUCAGUGUCUUCUGGCGGUGCUCGAAGGCCAGGACAUGACUGGACCACCGCGGGAGAUCCACGACAAUCAAGGAUUCGAAGUGAAAUCACUUCCCUUCUCCAACCUCGUGAUCCCUUUGAAUCCAGGCAAGAAUCGAAGCUCCGUUGAAAACACAAAGAGUCCCGCCGAGGAUGAAAAGGAAAGGUGACCCUCGAACUGCGAUUCCGGAGUCGAUGCAGUGAAGAGGAGCCUCAGUUUGCUGGACGACGAAGGAAUAGCAGAGUCAGGAAUGUGAUGUUCGAAUACCUCGUUUCAUUCAGGGAUCAACGAACACGAGGAUGUUCUAGAAGUAUUUUGAAGAGGUGCGGUGCACCGUUAUCGAGAGUAGCAUUACGACGCGAUAACAUGCGUGGCAUGUUGCUUAAAUCGCGAAGGCAAAAGCCAAGAGACUGAACAUGCGACGAUUCCUCGAUAAUCGAUUAUAUGUAGUCGAUGUUCAUUCGGUAAUGUAACGCCACGUGGUGCUUCUGAACAAAACGACAAACAAAAGACGACUAGUUAGCUCUGUUACGAAAGGAAGCAUACGUUCAAAGUGAUGCGUCUUUAGUUUUUCUUCUUUUACUGGCGACUCACGAGUGAACGAGAGCUAAAGGACUAAACGUGCGAGAAGGGGGAGGGUGGGAAUCAAUUUCAAUUUCGCGAACGUGAAAUUACGUUUGGCUCCGAGUCGUCUGGACAACGCACGAGUGGCAAAUUAAUGUCGACAAUAAAUAGAUACGUCGAACGAGAGAAAAUAUCGCACUCAAAGCUGUGGCCAUUUAAAGGGCUGUAAUAAAAAUUAUGGAUUCGCGACAACACGAGAGCAUUCAGCAGCGAAAAGGAGGACAAUUUGUUGCUACCCUGUCUUUGAUUGUACUGUUACAAGAUACAAGAAAGUAAAACGUAUAAUAUUCUAUAUCACAGAAUACGUAACUUAGACUAUUUUAUUGAAAUUGUUAUAGAAAUAUGAGAUCUUUUGAUGUUACCAAGUCUCGUAAUAAUUUCACUACACACGAGAAUGUAACUUUACUUUCGUCACCGAGGCACUUUUCGUAUUCCAUCAGUAGAAUUGAACGAAACAAGAGUUUAUUAUGUUAUCUCAAACAAGAGUUUAUGUUACAUUUAUGACAUACUGAGACGGUUCAAUAUCGUAUUCGGGAAGUCACUGUACAUACUGUGGAUUUCUGACGGAAUAUUCUGCAAUCUGUGUUUACUGUUCAUUCAAUUUCGACCAAGAUGUAACCACGGAGUAACGUUAUUCGAGGUUUUUUUUAACUACAUUUGUCACUACUCUUUAUGUGUCCACGGCUUAACUCGGAGGAUCCACUUUAGAACACACAGACUCUCAUACACUCACAUGUUAACACAGCAGUCUGAUGAUUCGACGUCGCUGAUGAUUCACAAACGAACGUCAGAAAUCAGUAGACAGUCUACGAGAACGCAUCUAGAACGUGAAAUUUCGUUGUCGAAAACGAGAAAGUGCAAAAUACCUUGCAGGUAUUCGCGGGAGGAACGAUUCAAGAAACCGGAUGCCGAAAGUGAAUGAAAAGAAAAAAAAAAAAAGCAGUCGGAGAUCGCUCUAACAAACGACGAUGAGAUUCUUCGAGACGUAAAAUUCGAGUGUUAGAAAAUUCAAUUGGAGAUGGUAGACGAAUCGUUUCGACGAAAAUAUUUAAAUGAGUUAUUUAUCGAAAUAUGCCGUGCAUGCUGAGGUAUAUAACAAAUGACGUUGCGUCUGAACGUUUGUUCGAAACGAGAGAGUGCGAGGUGAAGUAGCGUGGUAAAGAAUUUUUUUUCCCGUAGGUCGGCAGCGCGCGUUUCAUCUUCGAUCUCUGUCUCGUCGUGUAAAUAAUAUAAAAAAUCGCUGUGUGUCGACAUUCUCGAACUAAUUAGGCUUUGAAAUGAUCGCGAGAGCGCAUGUCGAUGGAAAUCGACGGUUCCCGCCUCGAUUUUCACGUCGGCACGACCGAUCCUCGCGCUUAGGUUACCUAUCGCGAUGUUAGAUAAGUCCAGGUUGCAUAUCUUAAGGAUUGUAAGAUGCGUAAUCCCGCAUUGGGUUGCCACGCUUCGAUCGAGCCGUCCGGUUCGCAACAAAUCGACUCAACUCUCGAAAACGAUGACGAAUCGUGUUUCCACGAUUAUUUGGAACUUUUGACGACUGAUUUUUAUUUACUAUUUAUUUGUUUUGCUGUUUUUCGUUCGUGCAUUCUGCGAACUACGAGAUAUUACAUUAUUUGCGACACGUUAAGCGAACAAUUGUAUUUUACGUUAUCUGCGAGUGUAUGAGAAUUCUUGAAGUUUAAUCGAAUAGAUCCAACUUUUCAAAAGAAACGUUUCUCAUUUGGGAAAAUAAUAAAUCUACGUCUGACAUUCAAUUUUAUAUUUCUAGAUUUCUCAUAUUGCUUUCUUCGCGUAAUAUAAAUCGUCCCUCGCUGUUUAAUAAAUUUUUAUUUCUUGCUCCAUUGUAAUCAGUUUCACGUGUAAUUGCUAAACUGCUGAUUUUUAUGCAAAUUGAUUUUCUUAAAUUCUAAUAAAAAAAAAAAAGUAGGACCCAAAGACAAAUUUGUUUCACUUGUUAAAUAUUGCAACAGGUAUUUCAUGUAUUAUGCGUGUUGUGUGGAUUUUUAUAAAUUUACAUUGCAAGUGCACAAAGAUCCGCAGUUUAAUAAUCACCAAUGAAAAAGUUCAUUUCACGAUUCCAUGCAAAUACUAUACCUUUCGUUUCUCUUUUAUUAAAUAUAUUAACGAACACUUGUUUUUGUUACGUUUUCAAACAUUUGAAUAAUUUUCGAUAUAAUCUCAAUAAUAGUCUCAUUUCACAAUUAUCUGAAAUAUCGUGCAAAUCAUAAUUUCAACGUUUCAAGCUUCGAGAUUCAUCGAUUUUGAAUUCUAAAGUGUUCUCAUCACGUUAUGGUCGAUUUGUUGUGAACCAAACGAUAAUUGGUUUAGACGCCGUUGCUGAUGUAAUUAAAAAAAAUCGUGAGUGGCAACCAUCCGUCCAAGGGCUGUAGUAGCGACGCCGAUUAAAUUGUAAAACAUUGCCUAGAAUGAAAAAAAAAGGGGGAAGGGAAGAAGGAUGAGAGGAGGACGAUUUCCUUCUUUUUUUCAUGAUAGGAAAAGUAAGAAAAAAAAAAAAAAAAAAAAAAACAUGUCAGUGGGAACAAGAAACUCGCAUCUUCGUAGAAGUCAUAUCACUUUUCACGAGAAUCACUCGACGAUCCGUAUAAUAUACAUAUUUACUUAUUGACAGUCGAUUCGAAACGACGAUCGCCAGAUCGUUCUGAAAGUUAAUUACACAUUAGCGUAGAGAUCGUUCUUUGACGUCGUUGUCAACGUUUCGUGUCGUUUGUCGUUAACACGUAAGACUAAUUUGUUGGAUAAACGGAUAGUAAACCGAACGAACAAUGAACGAGUGAACGAGUAUCUUCAAGAACAGAAACUGUAUGCAAUUUAGAUGAUUGAUAGAACUACAAUUUAGAAAAUAUUAACAAUGAAGUCUGAGAAACGAGGCAACGAUCAAAUCUAACAAUUAACGAUUCGUCUUGUUGUUGAUAUCAAAGCUAGAUUGAGUAAUAAAUUCGUUCGCGUUCCUUGGAAAAAAAGAGAACAGUUAUUAAGUGUUGCUAGGUCUGUGUAAAAUUUACGUAUCUAAUCGAAACGUAAUUUAUUAGAAAUACAUGCCUUUUAUUUCAAAAAUUCAGAUAUACUCUUGGAUUCUUUGAUUCUUCAAUUUUUUUAUACUAUCGUUUAAAAUGAAGUUAAUCGCUUGUCUUGCGAUCUUUACAUCUACUUUGACAUUCGCACAUAAAAUUAUACGUACGUGAGUUGUUUUCAAUAAUUUGCAUUAUAAUUUUGUAGUUGGAAAGCAAAGUAAAAAUUGGAAAAUUGGAAUUAUAAUUUGUUUUAUAUUGUAUCAGAUCCAUGAUCGACACGUCAUAAGGCAAGAGGAGUUUGCACUCUUGCAAAUCAGAAACAUUUUCUUGCAACAACUCGAUAAUUAUAGUUACAAUUUAUUUGAAUUCAAGAUUACAUUUCUAGAGCUAUGAAUGUUUCUUGAUAAGGUCGAAAAGUUAGAUCUCUUUUGAACGAUUUUAUUUAUGCAUACAUACUUCUGACAUACUUAUGAUGUUUCGUGGAAUUUUUGAGAAUAGAAUUAAAAUAAUAUUAUAGUUUGAAAAUAAUCAAAAAAUAGAAUCUUAAUAGGAAAUUUGUUUACUUAUUAAAUGUUAAAGCGCUGUACUUAGAUAUACAUUCUACGGAACUUCAAAAUUUUCCAUAAAUUCAUAAAAAUCUGAAUUUUAACAACAUUUCAUACAUUUCUAAUCAAAAUCUUCAGAAUUGCACGCAUAUUAUUCUUAAAUAAUUCUGUACAAUCAGAGGUCUGAAUAUUAUUUAUGCCAGCACAAUUGUCAGUCUGUCAGUCGGAGAAAAUAAAAUAAUCAGGCUUGUUGCAACGAAUGUAGCAAUGCAAUGAACAAUGAACAAAUCUCCUUCGUGCAAAAAAUAUCAAAAAUAAAAUUACACGUGAUUCACUACUUGUCUGAGUGCAAAAGAUUAAAACAUACGGCAAGCAAACUUAUUACUCAAUCCAGUAAUAAAACAGAGACCCAGUUUAUAACCAAUAAUAAUCGAACAGGUAGCGAACGUUGAACGACGGCAACGCGUUUAAGACGAAUCGGAAAGAGCCGAUCGUCGCUUCUGGUACUUAUAUAGAGAUUUGCUCGAUGCUGCAAAAUGGUGUACUUAAUUUUUGUAUUUACGACGAGGCAAGUAGGCGUGAUCGGACAAUUUUUAGGUGUUUAAGAGCAACAGGGAAAUCGAUUACUCUCAGCAGGGUCAAACGAAUUCUCUCGGUCUGGUUUCCCCCUCGGAAGACGGAGAAGGAAGACAUUCGAGAAGAGAAACAAAAA